GUUCCAAGUCCUCCUCAAAUGAGCAAAAUCUAAAGAAAUUAAAAUAUCAGUCAUAGCCUUAAAGAAAAUUACAACAUACUCAAAAAAAAAAAAUUAGCUACCCUACCUAACCACAGCCCUCUAAAAGUGUAGCAUUAUUCCUUGGUAUUGAAAACUCCCUUGGCUGGAUGAGACACUCCUUCAACUCAUCUUUCAGCUUGAGGAGGUCACAGAGAGACCUCGGGGGAUUGGGAUUCUGCAAUUUGGUGUGCAUCAGCUUUUGGAGUGAGCCUCUCAAAUCUCUACAGACCAAUGGAGACCAAGCAAGAUGCUCUCUAGCUGAACUAAGAAGAAAGGCAGCAAGUUUGGCCCAAAAGGUAGGAGAAGAUCUCAAUGCUCAGUGUGGGUCUGGUCACAGAGGAAAGUUACCACAAUGACACAAGACUAGAAGUCAUUCUGUCAUAACGAGUGAGUGAUAAGCAAUUAGUGUCUACCUGCUUUGAUAUGUAAAACACCGUUGCCAUCAAAGUCCAGGGGAAAAAGAAUCAUGGUUUUAUAAAUACAGCUUUAAACACCAUAUUUACAGAUGUAUUUGAAACUUCUGACUGCUUUGAGUAAGUGGUCUCCUUGAAAAUG
This 615-nucleotide long non-coding RNA is filed under the name Mus spicilegus (steppe mouse). RNAcentral's name for it is "lncRNA (ENSMSIG00000013193.1)". The record is from RNAcentral. Lineage: Eukaryota; Metazoa; Chordata; Mammalia; Rodentia; Muridae.